This 1913-nucleotide long non-coding RNA is filed under the name Venturia canescens. Its description in RNAcentral is "uncharacterized LOC122419557". Lineage: Eukaryota; Metazoa; Arthropoda; Insecta; Hymenoptera; Ichneumonidae. The record is from RNAcentral.
UGGAAUUAUUCGAGAGUUUUUUUUUAUAUUAUCUUCCAUAGUUCGCCGAAAGCGGUUCCGAGAUUUUUUCAAAUUUCUCCAAAUGUUUUUUACUUUUGUACUGAGCGUACAAAAGACUUUCAGCGAUUUUCAAAAUUAUAUCGAACCAUUUUGCCGGAACUUUUACAGAUUUUUCAAGUUUCCACGACCUUCUCGUCCAGAGUCUUCCCGACGUCUCCUGUACCUCUUCGAGACUUUCUCUGCUAGGCGACCCUUCUCCAGCCAUCAAAAGUCUCAGAAACAGUCUUCCCGUCACUAUCGCAAGCGAAUUUCAAAAAGUUUCGAAAGAGUUUCAGCAAGAAUCCCGCAUUCCGGACAAGCUCCUGGCAAGACACCUCGGCGAGUUUCCCAACGGUGCUAGUGCCUUUUGCGCGCGAUGUAUGAAGUUGAAUCAUGAAUUCUAUACUAAUGCGGUGGUGUCGUCUCCGGAGUGCUGCUCAUCAAGCGGCGUAGUGCAAAUUAGGAUCGACGCGAGGAUCCGAAUGAGAAAAGAGGCGGUUAAUUUCCCGAGGGCAGUAGAGCAAACGGCAUCGUUCGUUGGCACAACAAAAAAAUCAAGGGGAAGAAGAAAAAAGGAGAAAAGAAGAACCGGAAGGGAGGAGGAAAAACAAAGAGCAAAAGAACGAAUAAAGAGGCCGGAAAUAAGGAGGGGGGAGGCUGGACACAAAAAAAGGAGGGAGGGAAAGAGCGGGAGUAAACGAGAAGAGAGACGAUGCCGUAACGCCAAGCCCGUUCGUCAUUGUUGUUUUCACAGUGGCUUAGCGAUGCCUGGACGCGCAGGGUGAUCGGUGGCUAUUCCGUGGCACGUACUCUAUGCGCACCCUCGUGAACUAAAAGGAGCCAAAGUAACUGUUCAACAACAUGACUGGAUCUAACUACCCUGGAUACGCGUUCACCUUCAACAACCACGUUUGCGCUCCCCCCUCGAAAGUACUUUAGGGCGGUGUAUUAAUCGCGGUUAACCGCACAGCUGUACGUCUGAUCAAGCUUUUGCAACUGUUUCGUUUUUCAAUGCAAUUUCCGGUCAAAAAACGCCGAUGGAUUCGAAAUGAAUUGACUUUACAGAGGAUAAAAAUUAUUAAGGACGGGGAGAAGAGCACGCGAUUGCCUUUUUUGAAGAUAAUCAUUGGAGCAUGCGUUACUGUAACUAGUUUCGGCCGAAUUUCGAGCAAAUCACCGGUUAGAUAAAUUCCACGAUUUUGCAAGCACAGCAGUUGGAUAUUUUGAGGGUGGAAAAUCUGAUGGAAACUCCAUUUGCCUCGGUCGAUGCAACGCUCAUUUUUCAGUAUCAUUCGAUACGUUCUUCGCCGCAGUAACUGAUGCUGCUGAUGAGCUAUUGUUUCGGUUGCAUAGUCGGGGAGAACCGAAUGGUAAAUUGAACUAUCACACCGCGAAGACCGCGCGCAGCGAUGAAACAGGACGAGCAAUACGAUGGUCAAACCGCGACAUCAAUGAAGCAAAAGUCUUUGUAUUUGCAUGUUGCGUUCCCCGUACGCAUAUAAUUCAACAAACAGAAUACUGUUAAUUAUAAUUAUCGAACGAUCUCUAAAAUGAUGAAUGAAUUAAUAAGAAUCCACCGCUUGAUCAAAUCACUGGAUGAACGUCGAUCGAUCCUCGAACGUAGCGUUUUUCACUUCACACGAAACAUUCCGAUAAUUGCCAAUAUUAUUUUUAUCAUUCUCACAAUGUUUGAGGGAAGUGAAUGUAGUUAGCAAUUUUAGAUUAGCAAUAUUGGAGAAAACAAAAGAACAUUUAAAUGAGUUUGUUUGAGUAAGUUUUCUGUUCUUGCUCAUUUUGGCUGUGCUUUGUUAUUCUCAAAAGAACUGUCUGUAUCAGUUCUAAUGAAUCGAAAAAAUAAAAUGACGUUUCUUUCA